Molecule: RNA transcript, 3334 nt
Organism: Ictalurus furcatus (blue catfish)
Lineage: Eukaryota; Metazoa; Chordata; Actinopteri; Siluriformes; Ictaluridae
Gene: lpcat1
Gene name: lysophosphatidylcholine acyltransferase 1
Exons: 16
Source: RefSeq, a predicted model, not a curated record
UGUUUUAUUGCCUGUGAUGUGCAGUGUUAUUAUAGAGGGUCAGGUUCACAUGUCAGGAAGGCAUGUGAUCACCGGAUACUGAUGAUGACCGAGUGGACUGAUUAAUGCUCUUAAACGCAGAAGAUCACUCGGAACUUUAACUCAGAAGAAGCUGCUGAUGAAGAGUUUUUAAUUUAUUUAUACAGUGGAUUAAAGUCUGUGCUGACUUUGUGACAAUGAGGCUUGCAAACAGAAAGCGGGUAGAAGCUGUAAACGGAGCGGAUUCCCAAGUUUCAGAGCACUUCAUAAAUCCUUUUACACACGAGUUGAGGUUCACUUCUGUGCAGAAAGUCAAGAUUGCAUUGAUGACUGUGACGCUGUUUCCUCUGCGAAUGCUUUGUUCUGCCUUUUUCACGUUGCUCACAUGGCCUUUUGUAUUUGUGGCCACUGUGGGCCGCACCGAGGACGCCGUGGAGCCUCUUUCCUGGUGGAGGUGGCUGGUGGAUCUAAUCAUCAGGGGAUCCAUGAGGGCGUUGUGGUUUUCCGGCGGCUUCCACUGGAUCCAGGUGAAAGGCAGACCAGCUCUGCCCAGUGAAGCACCCAUACUCACGCUGGCACCGCACUCGUCUUUCUUUGAUGCCAUUCCUGUGACCAUGACCAUGGCAUCGAUAGUGAUGAAAGCAGAGAACAAAAACAUUCCUGUCUGGGGCACGCUGAUUAAGUUCAUCCGUCCAGUGUUUGUGUCACGCUCGGAGCCUGAUUCUCGCAGGAAGGCUGUGGAGGAGAUUAAACGCAGAGCACGCUCAGCAGGCCAGUGGCCUCAGAUCAUGAUUUUUCCCGAGGGGACCUGUACCAACAGAUCCUGCCUCAUCACAUUUAAGCCUGGUGCAUUUAUUCCUGGGGUUCCGGUCCAGCCGGUGGUUCUGCGCUAUCCUAACGAACUGGACACGAUCUCAUGGACAUGGCAGGGACCUGGAGCGUUUAAGAUCCUGUGGCUCACGUUGUGUCAGUUCCACAAUUCUAUAGAGAUCGAGUAUCUUCCUAUUUACACACCAUCAGAGGAAGAGAAAAAGGAUCCGGCUCUGUUUGCCAGCAAUGUGAGACACAUCAUGGCCAAAGCGCUGCAAAUACCAACUGUAGACUACUCGUUUGAAGACUGUCAGCUCUCAAUGGUCAAAGGUCCCCUGUGUUUACCUAGCCACACAUGCAUGCUGGAGUUCUCCAGACUGGUGUGUAAACUUGGUCUGAAGGUGGGAGUCACAGAUCAGGUCCUGCAGGAAGAGGGCAAAAAAGCACGCAAUCUCUGUGGAAGAAAACUGAGUCUGGAGGAAUUUGCAGAAUACUUAAACCUUCCAAUGACGGAAACUCUGCAGGACGUCUUUGCACUCUUUGAGGAGCAUGGUCAGAUGGAUGUGAGGGAAUACGUCAUUGCUCUCUCUGUGAUCUGCAGACCCUCGAAGUAUCUCGACACUCUUCAGCUCGCCUUCAGGAUGUUUGAGGCUGAGGAGAGCGGAGCUGUCAUAGAGGACGAGUUCGCCGUCAUUCUGAAAUCAGUUCUUGGAGUGGAAGAUCUUGCUGUGGGUGAUGUCUUCAGAGCUGUUGAUAGAGGAGACAAAGGAAAGAUCACCUUUGAUGAUUUUUGCCAUUUCCUGGAGAGCAGUCCAAACUUCAUGGAGUUAUACCACUGUGUCGAUGAAAAAUCCACACACACAUGUUCAGGACUCGUACAACCUGCAACCAACAGCUUCUGCCCUGACUUCAGUCCUCAGGACCAAAACACACACAGCAAGAAACAUGACUGAUACCGAGGGAAAAAAAAAGAGAGGCUGCUGAAGGAUGUUAUAACGUGGCUACAACACAACAUCAAAUCAGUCUCUAGAUUGUUGACGAGAGGUCCGAGAAGAACGGACAGACUGGUUCGAGCUGACAUAAAGGCUGUGGUUACUCUUUACAACUGGAGCUAGGCAGAAAAACAUCCCAGAAUGCACAACCUUGCAGUGGAUGGGCUACAACAGCAAAAGUCCACAUCACGUUCCAUUCCUGCUUUCAAAGAACAGGAAUCUGAGGCUACAGUGGGCCUCACCGAAACUGGACAGGUUAAUAUUGGAAAAAGACCAGGUUUUCCUCAAUGUUUGAUGUGAACAUUAACAAAAGCUCUUGACCUGUAUCUGCAUGAUUUUAUGCAUUGCACAGCUGCAUGAUUGGCUGAUUGGAUAAUUGCAUGCAUGAGCAGGCGUACAGGUAAGCAUAUAUAUCUUACAGAGGUAUAUUGUCUAAAGGUACCUUUUUAGAGCAAGGCAGUUACAUAUACUACCUGUGUAUGUUUUUUUUGUUUGUUGGUGAUACACAGAAAUGUUGACACCUUCAUUCUAUGGAGACAAGUGGAUAAACAACAGCUAUACACUAUACACCAAUUUAGCUAGUACAUUACAUUACAUUUAUGGCAUUUGGCAGACGCCCUUAUCCAGAGUGACUUACAUAUAUCUCAUUUAUACAACUGAGCCUUGCUCAAGGGCCCAACAGUGGCAGCUUGAACUCAUGAACUUCUGGUCAGAAGUCCAAUGUCUUAACCACUGAGCUACCACUGCCACAUGGUAGUAAACCUACUAUAUAGUGUGGGUGCAUUUGACUGUGUCCCUUCUACUGCUGUGCACAGAGUCAGACUCUCUUUACUUCUAAUACAAGGGACCACCAUAGAUGAUCAUACUACUGACCAGAUAUUAUUUUGUGUACCUAAAUAACUGGCAAUUCAGUGUCGUCUAAAUCCAAGGCCUCUCUUUUCUCCUACUUCUAGCAUGUUUACUGUUGUGUUCAAUUUUGCGUACAGACCCAGAGUUAACUUGAAGUUAUAAGCACUGCAGUUUACCCAUUAGCAGAUGACGUGUACACAGUGGUGGCUUUGGAAAGGGUGGAAACACAUCCACUGAUACCUCACACAGAAUGAGUCAUAUACAGCCGCCUGGUCAAUGGAGCGUUCCCGUCUCAUCUCAUUUUCCCUGGAGCGCUCUUCUCUCACUGCACUCUGUUCCACUGACUGAGCUUCUCCCUGCUCUCACGAUGGGACCGGCUGGAUAACAGCGCUUUCUAGUUAUGAAGACAUCCAUCCUGUGUAGAGGAAUGCCUCAAAUCAGUGUGUUCAGUGGUCUGAGGCUGAAAGACCAUGAACUGUCAAAAUUCAAUGGAUGUCAGGAUGCCGGUGACGGCAACGUCUCGAACGAGUGUGUGCACACUGUGCAAGGUAUCAAAAUCUAUAGUGUAUAAGAUCAAAAGGCCAUGACACCUGGAUUUUUUCCCCCUCAUCUCUGAGUUCCACAUUAAGGCACAUAAGCGCAGAGCAGCAAGUACUGCGGUUUUG